RNAcentral lists this ribosomal RNA (441 nucleotides) under uncultured bacterium. Its description in RNAcentral is "partial 16S ribosomal RNA". It matches the Rfam family "Bacterial small subunit ribosomal RNA", at positions 338 to 795 of the family's 1533-position model. The record is from RNAcentral.
CCUACGGGAGGCAGCAGUGGGGAAUAUUGCACAAUGGGGGGAACCCUGAUGCAGCGACGCCGCGUGGGUGAAGGAGUAUUUCGGUAUGUAAAGCCCUAUCAGCAGGGAAGAACAAUGACGGUACCUGACUAAGAAGCACCGGCUAAAUACGUGCCAGCAGCCGCGGUAAUACGUAUGGUGCAAGCGUUAUCCGGAUGUACUGGGUGUAAAGGGAGCGCAGGCGGCGCGUUAAGCCUGGUGUGAAAGUCCGCGGCUCAACCGCGGGACUGCAUUGGGAACUGGCGCGCUGGAGUGCCGGAGGGGUAGGUGGAAUUCCUAGUGUAGCGGUGAAAUGCGUAGAUAUUAGGAGGAAUACCAGUGGCGAAGGCGGCCUACUGGACGGUGACUGACGCUGAGGCGCGAAAGCGUGGGGAGCAAACAGGAUUAGAUACCCGAGUAGUC